CAAAGUGUAGGUUAAAUAAGAUUUAUUUGACAGUUGGGAGAUUAUAAUUUCCUAUCAGAUAGGAAACACCUAUGUUUUAGCAUCUGGACCUCACUGAGCUUGCGCGGGUGUUUCGUUCGUAACCAAUCAGAAACAACGAACGAAUCUUUAAUUACUCUUUUUUUUGACUCUGGUUUUAAAGAAUCGGUUGAGUGAAUGACUCACUAUAGGGUUCUAUCGAUGAUUCAUUCAUAAAACACAGAUACGUUCACUUGUCGCCGCCUGCUGGUGUAGCAGUUAAUCGCGGUCUUAAUUUCAACAGCAAAGAAUGGUUAAACAAGUUUAAAGACUCAGACGAGGCCCAGUUAGUUCCGCUGGACUCUGAGAAGAAUGUAAAAUGAAAAUGCACAACCGAAAGAAAGGAUAUGGUUUUAAGGAGGACCGUAUGUUCAAACAUUAACGUUUUUAGAGAAAACAGUGUGAAUGUUACCCACAGGUCAUGGUGUCAGUGGACGGGCAGAAUGGAGUUUUGUACAGCUCCAACAAUACUGAUGUGAAUGAGAGGGGUGAUGAGCUAUGGAUGCCUCUUACAAAACUGACUCCAGUAUGAGUCAUCAGUGUUGAUCAAGAAAAUCCACAACUAAACCCAUGGGUGGGAAUUAUCUUGGAAGAAAGUUUGGCAAUGGAUGAACUGACCCAUCUCAGGCCUUCUAUGUCCAUUUCUUUUUUUUUCAGACUGAUUUAUGCUCUGCACCUGGACUACCGUAAGUGUGUGAAAAGCACUUUAUAUUUUAUUCAUUAGAUAAUGCUCAACCUCGGACAAGGGGAGCUGGCACCCAAAAUUCUGUACUGCCAGUAUUGUGAACUCAGAGUGGAAAAAAACAUAUUGAUGUAAUCUCUUGUGAUUCUGAGAUAGACUGUUCAUGUGCAAGUUAAUUUGUUAAUCUAGGUUGUUUUUUUGUUUGUUUGUUUUUGUUUUUUCUGUGGAAAUGUUUUCAGGAUAUGAAAAUUUCAUGUUUUGUUUUGUUUUCAAAAUUAACAUUUGGAAUUUAAUUAAAAUAAAACAGAAA
Cyprinus carpio (common carp) is the source of this 1049-nucleotide long non-coding RNA. RefSeq lists it as uncharacterized. The transcript has 3 exons. Lineage: Eukaryota; Metazoa; Chordata; Actinopteri; Cypriniformes; Cyprinidae. The record is from RefSeq and is a predicted model, not a curated record.